This 935-nucleotide long non-coding RNA is filed under the name Capsicum annuum. RNAcentral describes it as "long non-coding RNA (CANN_LNC017293)". Lineage: Eukaryota; Viridiplantae; Streptophyta; Magnoliopsida; Solanales; Solanaceae. The record is from RNAcentral.
UUUUCCCCAUUUUUUUAAGGCAUUUCUGAAAUUUCAAGGUACUUCUAUAUUUUUCUCUUCAUUUUUCUUUAUUAGUUCUUAUUUUCACAUAAUAUCACGGAUUAAAGAAAAUGAGGGAGAUUUUUAAUUCAUCUUUGUGAAAUCGUUAAUUAUGUUAUAAAUUUGAUAAAAUUGAUAUUUAUUCUAUGAAUGUAUAAUUUUUUUUAUUUCUGUGAACACAUGGGAUUGCACUAAGCAAAGGACCCUCCAAAAAAAGAUAGGAGAGGGUUAUUUGUAUGUUCGACGAGUCUGGAAAAAUUUUAACUUGGAGGUUAGCUUUUUCAUCCUUACGAUUUAAUUCUUUUCAAUUGUAAAAAUUCUUGUUCUUUCUUUUUUUUGUUUUUUCAUCCAGUUUUUGGUGUCUGUAUUGGAGCCCUGACUAAUCUGGAUCGCGCGUUGCAGGGCCCAUUAAGGUGACAACGCUUCCAACAGAGUUUUCUCCAUACCCAGAAUCGAACCCUCAACCUCUGGUUAACGGUGGAGCAGCCCCAUCCACUCCACUACAACCCGUGUUGGUUCUUGUUCUUUCUUUGAUAUAUGAGAUUUUUUAUCUCAAAUUUCAGUUUAUCCUAUUAUGAGUUUGAGUUUGUUCUGUGAUAUUUGUUUAAUCUUGAGACAAAAUCAAAUCACUUUUUGCCUUAAUUAAUUAAUCAAAUAGAACAACUAAAUUUGCAACCCCCAAAAAAUAUCUAUUAGCAAAUACUUUAUUCUACACUUAUUUAUUCGUCAUUAAAAAAUUAUAGUGUAGUUAGGUAAAAAUAUUUUUACACACACAUACAUAUUGACACUUCUUGAUUUUUUUGUGAAUUUAUUUAUUUAUAUUUUGACGCUCCUAGAUGAAAAUUUUAACUUCGCCGCUGCUUGAAUUGUGAUUGAUGCCGAUCUUCCAAGCUCCC